UCAUAGUAGCUCCAAUCUUUAAUUUCAGUUCAAUCAGUCGAAAAUCUAAGAAGAUUUAUACAAACUUUCAUCCCCUAUUUUAUCCCCUUAGGGGUGGAAUUUAUCAAAAUCCUUUCUUAGGGGAUGCCUACGUCAUAGUAGCUUUAUGCAUGCAAAGUCUCAGCCCGAUCGGAAGAGCGUCGUUUA
This is a long non-coding RNA of Centruroides sculpturatus (bark scorpion), 186 nucleotides long. RefSeq lists it as uncharacterized. The transcript has 3 exons. The record is from RefSeq and is a predicted model, not a curated record. Lineage: Eukaryota; Metazoa; Arthropoda; Arachnida; Scorpiones; Buthidae.